GGCGGCAUGGCCAAGUGGUAAGGCAGAGGAUUGCAAAUUCUUUAUCCCCAGUUCGAAUCUGGGUGCCGCCU
Molecule: transfer RNA, 71 nt
Filed under: Nodosilinea foveolarum
Lineage: Bacteria; Bacillati; Cyanobacteriota; Cyanophyceae; Nodosilineales; Nodosilineaceae
Also listed under: 1 other name
Description: tRNA-Cys
Rfam family: tRNA
About the family: Transfer RNA (tRNA) molecules are approximately 80 nucleotides in length. Their secondary structure includes four short double-helical elements and three loops (D, anti-codon, and T loops). Further hydrogen bonds mediate the characteristic L-shaped molecular structure. tRNAs have two regions of fundamental functional importance: the anti-codon, which is responsible for specific mRNA codon recognition, and the 3' end, to which the tRNAs corresponding amino acid is attached (by aminoacyl-tRNA synthetases). tRNAs cope with the degeneracy of the genetic code in two manners: having more than one tRNA (with a specific anti-codon) for a particular amino acid; and 'wobble' base-pairing, i.e. permitting non-standard base-pairing at the 3rd anti-codon position.
Source: RNAcentral